RNAcentral lists this ribosomal RNA (881 nucleotides) under uncultured bacterium. RNAcentral's name for it is "bacterial SSU rRNA". It matches the Rfam family "Bacterial small subunit ribosomal RNA", at positions 26 to 896 of the family's 1533-position model. The record is from RNAcentral.
AGAUUGAACGCUGGCGGCAGGCUUAACACAUGCAAGUCGAGCGGUAACAGAGAAUAGCUUGCUAUUCUGCUGACGAGCGGCGGACGGGUGAGUAAUGCUUGGGAAUAUGCCUUUAGGUGGGGGACAACAGUUGGAAACGACUGCUAAUACCGCAUAACGUCUACGGACCAAAGGGGGGGAUCUUCGGACCUCUCGCCUAUAGAUUAGCCCAAGUGAGAUUAGCUAGUUGGUGAGGUAAUGGCUCACCAAGGCGACGAUCUCUAGCUGGUUUGAGAGGAUGAUCAGCCACACUGGGACUGAGACACGGCCCAGACUCCUACGGGAGGCAGCAGUGGGGAAUAUUGCACAAUGGGCGCAAGCCUGAUGCAGCCAUGCCGCGUGUGUGAAGAAGGCCUUCGGGUUGUAAAGCACUUUCAGUUGUGAGGAAAGGGGUGUAGUUAAUAAUUGCAUCCUGUGACGUUAACAACAGAAGAAGGACCGGCUAACUCCGUGCCAGCAGCCGCGGUAAUACGGAGGGUCCGAGCGUUAAUCGGAAUUACUGGGCGUAAAGCGUGCGUAGGCGGUUUGUUAAGUGAGAUGUGAAAUCCCGGGGCUCAACCUCGGAACUGCAUUUCAAACUGGCAAGCUAGAGUACUGUAGAGGGUGGUGGAAUUUCCAGUGUAGCGGUGAAAUGCGUAGAGAUUGGAAGGAACAUCAGUGGCGAAGGCGGCCACCUGGACAGAUACUGACGCUGAGGCACGAAAGCGUGGGGAGCAAACAGGAUUAGAUACCCUGGUAGUCCACGCCGUAAACGAUGUCAACUAGCUGUCUGUAGACUUGAUCUGUGGGUAGCGAAGCUAACGCGAUAAGUUGACCGCCUGGGGAGUACGGCCGCAAGGUUA